This 187-nucleotide long non-coding RNA is filed under the name Coturnix japonica (Japanese quail). RNAcentral's name for it is "lncRNA (ENSCJPG00005015304.1)". The record is from RNAcentral. Lineage: Eukaryota; Metazoa; Chordata; Aves; Galliformes; Phasianidae.
GCUUAAGCAAGUUGAGGGAGUUGAGGACUGGGGAAGCUUGUAAGGCAUAGUUUAAGCAACAAGCAUGUCCUAUUGUGAAGCGAGGCAGACACCUAGCGUCUGGUUCAAAUUCAUUCACUGGUUCCCUAACAGUCUUGGAGGACCUCCCCACAUCUGUGUUGGUCUGCAAUUAACAGAAUUGCUGUAG